GGGGAAUCUUGCGCAAUGGGCGAAAGCCUGACGCAGCAACGCCGCGUGCGGGAUGACGGCCUUCGUGGUUGUAAACCGCUUUCAGCAGGGACGAAAUUGACGGUACCUGCAGAAGAAGCCCCGGCUAACUACGUGCCAGCAGCCGCGGUAAUACGUAGGGGGCAAGCGUCGUCCGGAAUCAUUGGGCGUAAAGAGCUCGUAGGCGGUUCAGUAAGUCGGGUGUGAAAGCUCCGAGCUCAACUCGGAGAGGCCACUCGAUACUGCUGUGACUAGAAUCCAGUAGGGGAGUGUGGAACUCCUGGUGUAGCGGUGAAAUGCGCAGAUAUCAGGAAGAACACCAGCGGCGAAGGCGGCACUCUGGGCUGGUAUUGACGCUGAGGAGCGAAAGUGUGGGUAGCAAAC
RNAcentral lists this ribosomal RNA (402 nucleotides) under uncultured bacterium. RNAcentral describes it as "bacterial SSU rRNA". It matches the Rfam family "Bacterial small subunit ribosomal RNA", at positions 356 to 773 of the family's 1533-position model. The record is from RNAcentral.